Molecule: ribosomal RNA, 429 nt
Filed under: bacterium
Lineage: Bacteria
Description: partial 16S ribosomal RNA
Rfam family: Bacterial small subunit ribosomal RNA
Source: RNAcentral
UGGGGAAUCUUCCGCAAUGGACGAAAGUCUGACGGAGCAACGCCGCGUGAGUGAUGACGGCCUUCGGGUUGUAAAGCUCUGUUAAUCGGGACGAAUGGUUCUUGUGCAAAUAGUGCGAGGAUUUGACGGUACCGGAAUAGAAAGCCACGGCUAACUAUGUGCCAGCAGCCGCGGUAAUACGUAGGUGGCAAGCGUUGUCCGGAAUUAUUGGGCGUAAAGCGCGCGCAGGCGGAUUGGUCAGUCUGUCUUAAAAGUUCGGGGCUUAACCCCGUGAUGGGAUGGAAACUGCCAAUCUAGAGUAUCGGAGAGGAAAGUGGAAUUCCUAGUGUAGCGGUGAAAUGCGUAGAUAUUAGGAAGAACACCAGUGGCGAAGGCGACUUUCUGGACGAAAACUGACGCUGAGGCGCGAAAGCCAGGGGAGCGAACGGG